CAUAUUGGGAUGAAGAAAUUUCAAAUCACUGCUGUCAAAUGUAGCUUCGGUUUGCUACGGUAGUUCUCGUCAGUUCUCUAUUACAUCUUCGAUAGUGAGCACCAAAAUUUUCGGUGGUUACAAGUUUCCUUUGGAUCCCGGUUGUCAAGAAUUGCCCUAAAAUUAAAAUCAUGUACAUGUACGUCAACCCGAAUUACGUCUUGGUUGGGGGCCCCUGCUGCGGUGGAUGUGGUCCCUGUGGCGGUGGCUGUGGUCCAUGCUGUGGUCCUUGUGGUGGAUGUGGCCCCUGCUGUGGGCCUUGCGGAGGAUGUGGACCUUGCUGUGGCGGCACCAGCAUUUUUUGUGGCUGCGGUCCCUGCUGCUGAUCGAGAUAACCGGGAAACCUACGGCACAACUUGAGGCUGCCAUGUAAAUCUCGAAAAUAAAACUGGGGAAAUUAAA
This is a long non-coding RNA of Drosophila elegans, 441 nucleotides long. RefSeq lists it as uncharacterized. NCBI's taxonomy places the organism in Eukaryota, Metazoa, Arthropoda, Insecta, Diptera, Drosophilidae. The record is from RefSeq and is a predicted model, not a curated record. The transcript is spliced from 3 exons.